CUACCGAACUGUCCGAACUUCCCCACGAGCACUGCGCAUCUGGCCCUAAUCCUGCCUCACCUUCUUCCCCCGACUGCGCACCCGGCCCUAAUCCCGCCUCACCUUCUUCCCCAGACGGCUGUCGGCCAGGUGCUCCUCCAUCACGCCGUUGUGCUACGCGGCGGCCGUCGACCAGGAGCUUCUCCACGCUGCCCCUGUUCUGGCGACGCGGAUCUCCUCCACGCCUGCCUCACCGGCCACCCGGCCACCUGCACGGUAGCUGACCCCUCCUUCCAUCCCCUUCCCAGCGUCGAUUCUCGCGGAUGCGGGACUUUGACUCGAUUGAGCGCCCGGCGUGGACUCCCUCUGCAUCUACUUCGGUACUCCUCCCAAUUCCCAGACCACCAACACAACGCUCACCAGCGAGUCCAUAUCCAGUCACGAGGGAUCCACACGGGGACGGUUUGCAAUCCCGCACGGCCCUUCCCCAACCUCCUGCGCCAGCCACCGUCGGCCGCUGCCCUCCCCUCUCCAAUCCCCUGCCUCGUCCACCUCUGCGCGCUGGCCGGCAAGCUCCGCCCCAUCAUGGUCCAGGCUCGCUGCAGUCUCGUCUCAGUCAGGCACUCAGGCCAGCGUGGCCGUCGAGCCAGGCCAAUCGACCUGCUGUGGCACUCCAUCGGGUGAUCUGAACUGCCCGUUUCUGAGCUGCCGUGUUGUUUCUUCUAGUUGUUCUUUUGGUUCACAUUAUUGUUGUCUGACACAAUAACAGAAAGUCAAACAAAAAAAAUAGAGGAUGGUCUUUAGCGAGGACAAUCACCUGGAUGACAGAUAUACACGAUAUGUUCAUUGGAGAUCAUUUGAACUAUUAUUUUGAGCAUUUCCUGAAGAAAAAACUCCAGACUACCACAUGUGCAGCCUCUGUCGCUGAAUGGAAGCUUACGAUUGGGUACUGAACUACUGAAAGGCCGACUCCCAGUCUAUGCUGCGGCGACAUGUGCACUGCAUCCUGCUGGACAACCUUUGCAUCAGUGUCGACACUGCUGCUGCAGAGUUUGUUUCUUUUACUUUUGAACUGCAUGCCCUACCGGUUGCACUGCUUUAUGUUUUCAGAAUUCUGAUGCUAUUUCUGAACCGCUACUUCUGAACUGUCCACCUCCCUUUACUUUGUUCCUCUUGUACAGAAGCUCACAAGCUUGCCUCAUCGAACGAUCUAGUCAAUCGUAUUGGAUUGGCUCAGUCCAAGAAAUAGUUCCGAGAAAAAUGCAGGAAGUGCAGUAGUUCAACGCGAGUAGUCCUUGUGUUGUAAGUUCUGGAAUACUAUUUACGUAAUCUGAUGCCAUUUUGUAGCAUAAAAAAGGUUGAAAUAAUGAUUUACUAUGUUGCGAAAUCGGUGUGCAUAUACACGAGGAAGCAUGGCCUUGGAUCUCUAUAGAUCCAGAACAUAUAAACAUAUAAAGAACAUAUAAAUAUUUCUUUAUCUUCUGAAAUUCACUAUUUUAUCGGGUAAAAGUUCACUUCGCCUAUGAGGGGAAGUUCACCUAUUUUAAUUAUGCCAUCAUAGUCUUUUGCAUAUUAUCAAUUGUGUAUUGCAAAAGAAUUAGCAUUCAGAGAUGCAACUUAUCUAUGCCUUCAUAGUUCACAAAGUGAAGUUCUGGUGGUACACUUAUGUAUUUAGGGCAGGUCAAAAGUCUGAUUGAUGUGCCGGUACUUGCUGAUUGAUCUUGCUGUUCUUUAGCCCUUAUCUUUUUUGAUUGAUGUGCCGGUACUUCACAAUUUCUAGUUAGGACGUUCAGUUUGUACACAUGUGAAGUUCACUUUUAUCCAACAAAAAUAUUAAUACUUUUAUUCUUAAUUAUCAGGACUGUACUUUAUUUGUCGUAGAAGUUCGUUUUCUAUUUUUCGUGUAGUUCAGUUUUUGCUUCUCGAAAAGUACUGCAGCUUCAGUUUGUUGUUGUUUGUCACUAGUAUGCUGCCGCCUUCCACCUUCCGUCCCGCGCGCCGCCGCCUUCCGCCCCCGGCCCCGCGUGCCAUCGCCGCCCGCCUCCCGUCCCGGGUGCCGUGCUCCACCAACGGCCCGGGUUGCUUCUGCCGUCGUUGACCCGCAUCACCCCGCCUGGGGCACAUGGCAGCACUCCGGCGAGCGUCGCUCCGAACUCCCUCUAGCACCAGGUUCAUGCAGGAAAUUAGUUUGCGUUUGUGCAAAUACUCGAGCAACUACAGGAUGCCGACGAUAUUCUCUCAGGAGCAUUGCCAGGACGAGUGCAGUAUGUGAAGUUCAUUUCUUCUAAUCCUUGUAGUUCACUUCCCCUAAUUCAUGAAGUUCACAUCUCUUGCUACUUGCUAUUUAGUUCAUCCAUUAGGUUUAGAUAUGAACUUGUUUAUUUAGUUCCUUGUGAAAGUCAAUUUUUUUGUCGAAGUUUAGUUUUAUCGACGGGAGAGUUCACUUUAUUUUUUAUAAGUUCAAUUGUUAUAGUGCAGAUAUUCAUUUCUUUCAGCAAAAAAGGGUCUAAUUCACCCACGAGGGAAAGGUUCACAUUUUGUUGUCACGAAGUUCACUAUUUUCAAAUCCGAAAGUUUGCAUAUGUUGCUAAUUUUUAUUGUACUUCUUCAUGGUUUGUGGUACUAACUAAAUUACUCUCAGUUCAUGUCACUUGCGUUUUUCUUUGAUUUCUCAGACCGUAUGCCCAGAAGUUCAAUAUGAACGCGUCGGUAUUUCACUUUGUCUCACUGAAAAAUCAUCUUAUCAUCGGGCAGUUCAUUUUAAAUAUGCAGAAAGUUCAGUUGUGUCACGCAUGAAAAUUCAUUUCAUUUUGAUUUGGAAAAAAUUUGGUGGGAGGAAGUUAUUAUUUUUAGAUAUUGUUUUGUGAGCUAUUUCUUGUAGUUUGUUGUGAAUUGUAUGUCCGGAGGUCCACUUGGUUAUGACCUGGAAGCUCACAAUUCAUGCUCCACUAUGCUUUUUGUUCUGCACCUAAGAGUCUUCAUGGUGAUUGUUUGCACUUUAGGCAUGACUGGAAGCUUAAUCUUUUCUUAUCUGACGUUCACUUUCUCCCUACCGCGAAGUUUGGUACAUGUACAUGGGAAUUACAGCUAAUUAAAAAGCAAUGUGGUUCAGAGGUUCACCUUUUUAUUUGCUAAAAGUUCAGUUCCUCCAUUAGGGGAAGCUCACUUGUUUUUGCAUAUACUUGUGAGCGAGGUACACAAGUGUAAUUUUAGGGGUGCACUUUUUGCAUCCGGAACAAAAUCACUCUUAUUAAUAGGGAAGUUCGUGAGGUGGAGUUUUGUUCUUUUUGGUCGGUGAGUUCACUCCAAAUGCCUGGGGAAGUUCACUUUUCUCUCGAUAAGUUUUUUGUUUGGAAUUUCCUUCUAUGUUUGCUAUCAUUACAAACUUGCUUUGUUACAUGAUUCUAUGACCAACUUUUGCCAUUCUUUUAGUUGCUUUGAUGUAUGUUUGUUAUCUGAAGUUCACUUCAUGCCCACCACAGAGUUCGGUACAAGUACAUGGCAAUUGCAGUUAAUUUAAAACACUGUGGGUCGGAGGUUCACCUUUUGGGUGGUUCACUUAUUCAGCAUCUGCAGCUCGCAUGAAUAUGAGAAGCAACUCACAUUUGGCAUCAGUCCAGUUCGCUGUAAUUUUGUCUGAACCAUGCUUAAAACAGGAAGUUCACCCUCCCUUGGCUCUGCCAUGCUCGGCAUGGCCAUGUGAGUCCACCCAUCGCUGCCCAGGAGUCCACUAGGCGUUUCACUUUUUUAGUUCUAGGCGGUUCACUUUCUUAUUUUAGAAAAUGGAAGUUCACUUAUUUGGCAUCCGCAGUUCACACGAGUAUAAGAAUUAGGUACUUGAUAAGUUGAGUCUCAUCGUCUGAGCAAUACAUGCAUAUACAGCAGGGACUUCCUGAGCGCCGCCACUCCAAUGAGGCGAUGCCAUAGAGGACACGGCUUCUGGGUGAUGGACGUGGCUUCGCCGUCGCUCCAUGACCAUCGUGUCAUCAAGCCCAACCUCCUCGUGCCGUAGGGGCGUCCGUUGAUGAGCAUUGUUAGGAUGGAAGCAAAUGUGGGAUGUGUGAAGUUUACUGAUUAAUUCAUGGAGUUCGGUUCUCCUAUUCGUGAAGUUCAUGUCUCCUGAUACUGUACUUUACAUUAUUCCUGCUAUAUGGUUUUUAUUCGUGAGUCUGUUAGAUGGAUUAUUUGUGAAAGUUUGCUUCUGAUGUUUCCGCUCCGGGGUGGACGAUUUUAUAUAUUAACUAUGUGUGAAGUUCAGUUUUA
Molecule: non-coding RNA, 4242 nt
Organism: Lolium perenne
Lineage: Eukaryota; Viridiplantae; Streptophyta; Magnoliopsida; Poales; Poaceae
Source: RefSeq, a predicted model, not a curated record